GAUGAACGCUGGCGGCGUGCCUAAUACAUGCAAGUCGAACGCAUAGCGAAAGGUGCUUGCACCUUUCAAGUGAGUGGCGAACAGGUGAGUAACACGUGGACAACCUGCCUCAAGGCUGGGGAUAACAUUUGGAAACAGAUGCUAAUACCGAAUAAAACUUAGUGUCGCAUGACACAAAGUUAAAAGGCGCUUCGGCGUCACCUAGAGAUGGAUCCGCGGUGCAUUAGUUAGUUGGUGGGGUAAAGGCCUACCAAGACAAUGAUGCAUAGCCGAGUUGAGAGACUGAUCGGCCACAUUGGGACUGAGACACGGCCCAAACUCCUACGGGAGGCUGCAGUAGGGAAUCUUCCACAAUGGGCGAAAGCCUGAUGGAGCAACGCCGCGUGUGUGAUGAAGGCUUUCGGGUCGUAAAGCACUGUUGUAUGGGAAGAACAGCUAGAAUAGGAAAUGAUUUUAGUUUGACGGUACCAUACCAGAAGGAGACGGCUAAAUACGUG
RNAcentral lists this ribosomal RNA (497 nucleotides) under uncultured bacterium. Its description in RNAcentral is "partial 16S ribosomal RNA". It matches the Rfam family "Bacterial small subunit ribosomal RNA", at positions 28 to 507 of the family's 1533-position model. The record is from RNAcentral.